UUGAUAAAAUAAUAUACGAAGGCGGCGAUCUGGCGGAAACGUUAGUAAGCCGGGAAAAAUGCUUAGCGGUAUUUUGUCUGCCGCUACGUUUUGAGUUCAAAUUCCGCCGAGGUCGACUUUGCCUUUCAUCCUUUCGGGGUCGAUUAAAUAAGUACCAGUUAUGCACUGGGGCCG
Long non-coding RNA from Octopus sinensis (East Asian common octopus), 174 nucleotides. RefSeq lists it as uncharacterized. The record is from RefSeq and is a predicted model, not a curated record. Lineage: Eukaryota; Metazoa; Mollusca; Cephalopoda; Octopoda; Octopodidae. The transcript is spliced from 3 exons.